This 85-nucleotide transfer RNA is filed under the name SAR324 cluster bacterium. RNAcentral's name for it is "tRNA-Tyr". It matches the Rfam family "tRNA". Rfam says of the family: Transfer RNA (tRNA) molecules are approximately 80 nucleotides in length. Their secondary structure includes four short double-helical elements and three loops (D, anti-codon, and T loops). Lineage: Bacteria; Deltaproteobacteria. The record is from RNAcentral.
GGGGAGAUUCCCGAGUGGUCAAAGGGAUCAGACUGUAAAUCUGACGGCGACGCCUUCGAAGGUUCGACUCCUUCUCUCCCCACCA